RNAcentral lists this ribosomal RNA (253 nucleotides) under uncultured bacterium. Its description in RNAcentral is "partial 16S ribosomal RNA". It matches the Rfam family "Bacterial small subunit ribosomal RNA", at positions 524 to 776 of the family's 1533-position model. The record is from RNAcentral.
UACGAAGGGUGCAAGCGUUACUCGGAAUUACUGGGCGUAAAGCGUGCGUAGGUGGUGAGUUAAGUCUGUCGUGAAAGCCCCGGGCUCAACCUGGGAAUGGCGAUGGAUACUGGCUCGCUAGAGUGCGGUAGAGGAGAGUGGAAUUCCCGGUGUAGCAGUGAAAUGCGUAGAGAUCGGGAGGAACAUCAGUUGCGAAGGCGGCUCGCUGGGCCGUUCCUGACGCUGAGACGCGAAAGCUAGGGGAGCGAACAGG